CACGAGGGGUGCGAGCGUUGUUCGGAAUCACUGGGCGUAAAGGGAGCGUAGGCGGAACGCCAAGCCGGAAGUCUAAUGCCGGGGCCCAACCCCGGCGCCGCUUUCGGAACUGGCGUCCUUGAGUGUGCGAAGGGUCGGCGGAAUUCCUGGUGUAGCGGUGGAAUGCGUAGAUAUCAGGAAGAACACCGGUGGCGAAGGCGGCCGACUGGCGCGACACUGACGCUGAGGCUCGAAAGCGUGGGGAGCGAAC
Molecule: ribosomal RNA, 250 nt
Filed under: uncultured prokaryote
Description: partial 16S ribosomal RNA
Rfam family: Bacterial small subunit ribosomal RNA
Source: RNAcentral